This is a long non-coding RNA of Pipra filicauda (Wire-tailed manakin), 676 nucleotides long. RefSeq lists it as uncharacterized. The record is from RefSeq and is a predicted model, not a curated record. The transcript is spliced from 3 exons. Lineage: Eukaryota; Metazoa; Chordata; Aves; Passeriformes; Pipridae.
GGCCGGGUAAACCCCUUCCCUGCCGGGUGACCCUGGGGGAGCCGUGGCAGGACUGCGGGGCUGGUGCUCUCUGGGUGGAUCGAGUUUUGCUUUGGAAUUCCAAACCCUUUCCCUGUGCAGGGUUACGAGGCCAAGACUGCUUUAGCUUGGUUUUUUUUGGUGCUGCAUUAAUGCUUUUUGCUGGUUCUGUGUCAAUUUGCAGCCUGGCUCGUGGUUUCCCCUGGUGCUGGGGAGUGGAGGCGAGUUGUGCUUCCUGCCGGGAGAGAGAAGGGCCUUGGGAAGCUGCUCCAUGAGCCACAGCUGUGCCGAGCCCGGGAGUCUGUCCAGCAGGAUGUGGAGUGCCACCAUGUCCCCGAGGUCACCCUUUCUGCUGUUGGGAGAGCAUGAGGUGGAUGGAGAGGAUCCCCAGCCAUCUGCAGGCAAAAGGGACUGGCACAACUGUGAUUUUUCUCCAGCUCUCUUAAGGUGGACUUUCAGGGUACCAUGGGACGUGAAUGCAAGAACCUGCCAAGAAAAGCAAUGGCCAAGAUGAUUGAUGAGUGCAGGACCUGAGAGAACCACCUUGAAUGACAAUCUCAAGGAGUUUCCAGUAUUGGAUUUAAAAGAUGGCCUUUGCUGCAUCUCCUUGAGCAAGGAAAGCCAAGAAACCUUUGCUUUUGAAGGAGAAAAUCUGGAA